Molecule: small RNA, 46 nt
Filed under: Fuerstiella marisgermanici
Lineage: Bacteria; Pseudomonadati; Planctomycetota; Planctomycetia; Planctomycetales; Planctomycetaceae
Description: Fuerstia marisgermanicae Acido-Lenti-1 RNA
Rfam family: Acido-Lenti-1 RNA
Source: Rfam by way of RNAcentral
CCUCGGGCUUACACCCGAGGCUAAGUGCUGUCGCCCCUCCGGGGCA